AGCGAAGCGUUAAGCAUCCCACCUGGGGAGUACGCCGCAACGUGAACUCAAGGAAUUGACGGGGGCCCGCACAAGCGGAGGACAUGUGUUAUUCGAUGAUACGCGAGGAACCUUACCCGGGCUUGAACUGCCGGUGAACGAUACAGAGAUGUUGAGUCCUUCGGGACGCCGGUGGAGGUGCUGCAUGGUUGUCGUCAGCUCGUGCCGUGAGGUGUCGGCUUAAGUGCCAUAACGAGCGCAACCCCUCUCCGUAGUUGCCAUCGGGUGAUGCCGGGCACUCUGCGGACACUGCCACCGUAAGGUGCGAGGAAGGUGGGGAUGACGUCAAAUCAGCACGGCCCUUACGUCCGGGGCUACACACGUGUUACAAUGGGUGGUACAGAGAGCCGGGAGUACGCAAGUGCCCCCUAAUCAUGAAAUCCAUCCUCAGUUCGGACUGGGGUCUGCAACCCGACCCCACGAAGCUGGAUUCGCUAGUAAUCGCGCAUCAGCCAUGGCGCGGUGAAUACGUUCCCGGGCCUUGUACACACCGCCCGUCAAGCCAUGAAAGCCUGGGGCGCCUGAAGUCCGUGACCGCGAGGGUCGGCCUAGGGUGAAACAGGUGAUUGGGGCU
This 613-nucleotide ribosomal RNA is filed under the name uncultured rumen bacterium. Its description in RNAcentral is "bacterial SSU rRNA". It matches the Rfam family "Bacterial small subunit ribosomal RNA", at positions 848 to 1482 of the family's 1533-position model. The record is from RNAcentral.